UUGGAAGGGGAUCUUGGUUUUUUUUAUUAUAAAAGAAACCCCAGGAGUUACGUCUUAUUCCCGAGGAGAUGUUUGAUCUCCCUAGUCUAGGGACUUCUUGUAAGGGCCCCUUAUUUAUGGAAUGGGUAAUGUGUUAAAGGAUAGCUUAGGUACUGCAGUUGGUUUGGAAUUAGACUACCUUAAUAUCAGACAUCAAAGACAACACAGAAUCCAAGUCCAAGACUUGAGUGAUAAUGCUAGAGAACGUAUCCUUCUUGGCAA
RNAcentral lists this long non-coding RNA (261 nucleotides) under Nicotiana benthamiana. RNAcentral's name for it is "long non-coding RNA (NBEN_LNC035994)". The record is from RNAcentral. Lineage: Eukaryota; Viridiplantae; Streptophyta; Magnoliopsida; Solanales; Solanaceae.